GGGCGGUGGACAUAGAGGAGGUAACCUUGGAGAGGAUCAUGAGGGGGCGGUGGACAGAGAGGAUCAUGAGGGGGCGGUGGACAGAGAGGAUCAUGAGGGGGCUGUGGACAGAGAGGAUCAUGAGGGAGCGGUGGACAGAGAGGAACAUGAGGGGGCUGUGGACAGAGAGGAACAUGAUUGGGCGGUGGACAGAGAGGAACAUGAUGGGGCUGUGGACAGAGAGGAUCAUGAGGGAGCGGUGGACAGAGAGGAACAUGAGGGGGCUGUGGACAGAGAGGAUCAUGAGGGGGCGGUGGACAGAGAGGAUCAUGAGGGGGCGGUGGACAGAGAGGAUCAUGUGGGGGCUGUGGACAGAGAGGAACAUGAGGGAGCGGUGGACAGGGAGGAACAUGAGGGGGCUGUGGACAGAGAGGAACAUGAGGGAGCGGUGGACAGAGAGGAUCAUGAGGGGGCGGUGGACAUAGAGGAGGUAACCUUGGAGAGGAUCAUGAGGGGGCGGUGGACAGAGAGGAUCAUGAGGGGGCGGUGGACAGAGAGGAUCAUGAGGGGGCUGUGGACAGAGAGGAUCAUGAGGGGGCGGUGGACAGAGAGGAUCAUGAGGGGGCGGUGGACAGAGAGGAUCAUGAGGGGGCGGUGGACAGAGAGGAUCAUGAGGGGGCGGUGGACAGAGAGGAUCAUGAGGGGGCGGUGGACAGAGAGGAUCAUGAGGGGGCGGUGGACAGAGAGGAUCAUGAGGGGGCGGUGGACAGAGAGGAUCAUGAGGGAGCGGUGGACAGAGAGGAUCAUGAGGGGGCGGUGGACAGAGAGGAUCAUGAGGGGGCUGUGGACAGAGAGGAACAUGAGGGAGCGGUGGACAGGGAGGAACAUGAGGGGGCUGUGGACAGAGAGGAACAUGAGGGGGCUGUGGACAGAGAGGAACAUGAGGGAGCGGUGGACAGGGAGGAACAUGAGGGGGCUGUGGACAGAGAGGAACAUGAGGUAGCGGUGGACAGAGAGGAUCAUGAGGGAGCGGUGGACAGAGAGGAACAUGAGGGGGCUGUGGACAGAGAGGAACAUGAGGGAGCGGUGGACAGAGAGGAGGUAACCUUGGAGAGGAUCAUGAGGGGGCGGUGGACAGAGAGGAUCAUGAGGGGGCGGUGGACAGAGAGGAUCAUGAGGGGGCGGUGGACAGAGAGGAUCAUGAGGGGGCGGUGGACAGAGAGGAACAUGAGGGAGAG
Molecule: long non-coding RNA, 1217 nt
Organism: Oncorhynchus tshawytscha (Chinook salmon)
Lineage: Eukaryota; Metazoa; Chordata; Actinopteri; Salmoniformes; Salmonidae
Source: Ensembl